RNAcentral lists this non-coding RNA (27 nucleotides) under Bombyx mori (domestic silkworm). The record is from RNAcentral. Lineage: Eukaryota; Metazoa; Arthropoda; Insecta; Lepidoptera; Bombycidae.
UUACGACGACAAUGACGGCAACCGUGC